CUACGUAGGCGACAAGCGUUAUCCGGAUUUACUGGGCGUAAAGGGCGUGUAGGCGGUCUUGCAAGUCAGAAGUGAAAUUCCUGAGCUCAACUCGGGAGCUGCUUCUGAAACUGCAGGACUUGAGUGCUGGAGGGGAUAGCGGAAUUCCUAGUGGAGCGGUAAAAUGCGCAGAUAUUAGGAAGAACACCGGUGGCGAAGGCGGCUAUCUGGACAGUAACUGACGCUGAGGCGCGAAAGCGUGGGGAGCAAACGGGAUUAGAUACCCCGGUAGUCCUGGCAGUAAACGAUGUAUGCUGGGUGUGGGAGUAGCGAUACCUCCGUGCCGAAGUUAACGCGAUAAGCAUACCGCCUGGGGAGUACGGUCGCAAGAUUGAAACUCAAAGGAAUUGACGGGG
This 395-nucleotide ribosomal RNA is filed under the name uncultured bacterium. RNAcentral describes it as "partial 16S ribosomal RNA". It matches the Rfam family "Bacterial small subunit ribosomal RNA", at positions 523 to 918 of the family's 1533-position model. The record is from RNAcentral.